AGCUUUGCGCAGUGGCAGUAUCGUAGCAAUGAGGUUUAUCUGAGGCGCGAUUAUUGCUAAUUGAAAAACACUUGUAUAUUCAUGUUCAUUGCAGCAUUAUUCACAAUUGCUAAGACACAGAAUCAACCCAAAUGU
This 135-nucleotide small nuclear RNA is filed under the name Tupaia belangeri (northern tree shrew). RNAcentral describes it as "U4 spliceosomal RNA (ENSTBEG00000018836.1)". The stretch from base 1 to 118 matches the Rfam family "U4 spliceosomal RNA". Rfam says of the family: U4 small nuclear RNA (U4 snRNA) is a component of the major U2-dependent spliceosome. Lineage: Eukaryota; Metazoa; Chordata; Mammalia; Scandentia; Tupaiidae. The record is from RNAcentral.